AGGACGAACGCUGGCGGCGUGCUUAACACAUGCAAGUCGAGCGGAAAGGCCCUUCGGGGUACUCGAGCGGCGAACGGGUGAGUAACACGUGAGCAACCUGCCCCUGGCUCUGGGAUAGCCUCCGGAAACGGGGAUUAAUACCGGACAUUCUCCUUCUUCCGCAUGGUUGAGGGUGGAAAGUUUUUCGGCCAGGGAGGGGCUCGCGGCCUAUCAGCUUGUUGGCGGGGUAACGGCCCACCAAGGCGACGACGGGUAG
RNAcentral lists this ribosomal RNA (256 nucleotides) under uncultured bacterium. Its description in RNAcentral is "partial small subunit ribosomal RNA". It matches the Rfam family "Bacterial small subunit ribosomal RNA", at positions 26 to 286 of the family's 1533-position model. The record is from RNAcentral.